This is a non-coding RNA of Meleagris gallopavo (turkey), 218 nucleotides long. The record is from RefSeq and is a predicted model, not a curated record. Lineage: Eukaryota; Metazoa; Chordata; Aves; Galliformes; Phasianidae.
UCCAUACUGUCGCCAUCUGCGCGCAGAAUACAACAGCCUGCAUGACCCAUAUCUGCAGGACUACCACAACCGCAAAGACAACCUGCAGAACCUGAAGAACAGGGGCCUUGUCACCGAGGAUGGCAAAGUUGUCUGCACUCUGAAAGAGUUCAACGAGUACAGGCAGUACCUGACCAGGCUGAAGCUGGAGCGGGAGAAAAUAAAGAGGCAAAAAGAGG